Molecule: long non-coding RNA, 137 nt
Organism: Sinocyclocheilus rhinocerous
Lineage: Eukaryota; Metazoa; Chordata; Actinopteri; Cypriniformes; Cyprinidae
Exons: 3
Source: RefSeq, a predicted model, not a curated record
GCUGAAUACCACAAUCAUGGCAACCACAACAGCAGAAGCCGAAACCCGCCAGAGACUGCUGCGAAACGUGAAGAAGGAGACAUGUGACGGUGUAAUCCAAGGAUGAUGGUUAAUACAUGUAAAUAGAAGAACAAGGC